CAGCUUACAUUGUUUACCCAUCAUUACCACACUCAGUGUAGGUGGUGGAACGGCAUGACACAGAUGUUCCAAGGCGAACCAUCCCAUUUAUAGUUGCGACUUUCUGUCGUUGACUGCUGGAUGGAGAAACGGGCUCCCUCAGAAGAAGAGAUUUUUUUUUUGGAAUCUUUGACCCGUCGUUAAUCGCCCAUUUCUUUCUGUCAAUGAGAGAAGAGGGUUUCAUAUCAGGGUUACAUGAUGAGCUAUAAGACGGCAUGAAUCAAAACUGAAAUGUUGGCAAGUAGAUGACGGAUAGGAUUUCACAUCUUGCCAUCGUGAAAUGGUUUCAUGGGUGCUGGUUGUGGUUGUGUGUCUUUUCCUCUUGUGCAUGUAUGAUGGAAUGGGGUUUCUACGAAUCUCCUCUUGCCCAAGCCCGAUCUCUCGGAAGGCACUGGUAUCAAACGUCUGGAGCACUGUGAUAUUGUAACUUCGAAGAAAGUGUGGGGGAAUCCAGUGCAUAGGCCUGCUCUCAAACCUAGCUCUCUCGAACCAGCUCCCUGCAGCCUCGGCAGGGAAUCCAACUCUGAUAUACAAACUGUAAAAUCUUCUUUCCAUUAUGACAAAUUAAUCUACUUGGAAAUCACCCAUACUCUGUAGCGUCCAUCCAAGAUUCCAUGAAAAUGCAGC
RNAcentral lists this small RNA (666 nucleotides) under Histoplasma capsulatum. RNAcentral's name for it is "hypothetical RNA". Lineage: Eukaryota; Fungi; Ascomycota; Eurotiomycetes; Onygenales; Ajellomycetaceae. RNAcentral also lists the same sequence under 1 other name. The record is from RNAcentral.